This 72-nucleotide transfer RNA is filed under the name Bos taurus (domestic cattle). It matches the Rfam family "tRNA". Rfam says of the family: Transfer RNA (tRNA) molecules are approximately 80 nucleotides in length. Their secondary structure includes four short double-helical elements and three loops (D, anti-codon, and T loops). Lineage: Eukaryota; Metazoa; Chordata; Mammalia; Artiodactyla; Bovidae. The record is from Rfam by way of RNAcentral. RNAcentral also lists the same sequence under 5 other names.
UCCCUGCUGGCUCAGAUGGUAAAGAAUCUGCCUGCAAUGCAGAAGGCCAGAGUUCGAUCCCUGGGUUGGGAA